GGAUGUGAGGGCGAUCUGGCUGCUACAUCUGUCAUCCCAUUGUUCGCCAGGGUUGAUUCAGCUGAUCUGGCUGGCUAGUGACCCCUUCCUCCCUCACCACUCCACGUCCCUCCCAAAGCUGAGUACCCCAGUCUUCCUUCAAGGGUAUAGGAGUGACUGAGCUCCCCUGCUAGAACCUCCAAACAAUCUCUCCAGGUCCUCUUUCCCUCCUCUCUUCCUCU
Cricetulus griseus (Chinese hamster) is the source of this 221-nucleotide non-coding RNA. The record is from Rfam. NCBI's taxonomy places the organism in Eukaryota, Metazoa, Chordata, Mammalia, Rodentia, Cricetidae.